GGCUGGGCCGAUGGUGGUGGGGUAUCAGAACUUAUUAACAUUAGUGUCACUAAAGUUGGUAUACUACCCCCCACUGCUAAAUUUGACUAACUUAGA
Unclassified non-coding RNA from Otolemur garnettii (small-eared galago), 96 nucleotides. It matches the Rfam family "Y RNA". Rfam says of the family: Y RNAs are components of the Ro ribonucleoprotein particle (Ro RNP), in association with Ro60 and La proteins. The Y RNAs and Ro60 and La proteins are well conserved, but the function of the Ro RNP is not known. Lineage: Eukaryota; Metazoa; Chordata; Mammalia; Primates; Galagidae. The record is from Ensembl.